AAGAAAUGAUGAGAUGCAUCUUCAGGUCCGUGUUUUUGAUGAAAGUGAUAGUAAUUGAAGAUCUGAUCUU
Molecule: non-coding RNA, 70 nt
Organism: Lingula anatina
Lineage: Eukaryota; Metazoa; Brachiopoda; Lingulata; Lingulida; Lingulidae
Source: Rfam